UACGGAGGAUCCAAGCGUUAUCCGGAAUCAUUGGGUUUAAAGGGUCCGUAGGCGGUUUGGUAAGUCAGUGGUGAAAGCCCAUCGCUCAACGGUGGAACGGCCAUUGAUACUGCCAGACUUGAAUUAUUAGGAAGUAACUAGAAUAUGUAGUGUAGCGGUGAAAUGCUUUAGAUAUCGUCCAGAACACCGAUAGCGAAGGCAGCUUACUAAGGAGUAACUGAAC
This 223-nucleotide ribosomal RNA is filed under the name uncultured bacterium. RNAcentral's name for it is "partial 16S ribosomal RNA". It matches the Rfam family "Bacterial small subunit ribosomal RNA", at positions 524 to 745 of the family's 1533-position model. The record is from RNAcentral.